GGUGCUGAGGCUCAGCCGGCUAAGGCAUCUGCCUCAGAAGCAGGAGAUCCUGGAGACAACUCUCAGCAGUGCUG
This 74-nucleotide transfer RNA is filed under the name Nipponia nippon (crested ibis). It matches the Rfam family "tRNA". From Rfam's summary of the family: Transfer RNA (tRNA) molecules are approximately 80 nucleotides in length. Their secondary structure includes four short double-helical elements and three loops (D, anti-codon, and T loops). Further hydrogen bonds mediate the characteristic L-shaped molecular structure. tRNAs have two regions of fundamental functional importance: the anti-codon, which is responsible for specific mRNA codon recognition, and the 3' end, to which the tRNAs corresponding amino acid is attached (by aminoacyl-tRNA synthetases). tRNAs cope with the degeneracy of the genetic code in two manners: having more than one tRNA (with a specific anti-codon) for a particular amino acid; and 'wobble' base-pairing, i.e. permitting non-standard base-pairing at the 3rd anti-codon position. The record is from Rfam by way of RNAcentral. Lineage: Eukaryota; Metazoa; Chordata; Aves; Pelecaniformes; Threskiornithidae.